AGAGCGAACGCUGGCGGCAGGCCUAACACAUGCAAGUCGAACGGACUCUUCGGAGUUAGUGGCGGACGGGUGAGUAACACGUGGGAACGUGCCUUUAGGUUCGGAAUAGCUCCUGGAAACGGGUGGUAAUACCGAAUGUGCCCUUCGGGGGAAAGAUUUAUCGCCUUUAGAGCGGCCCGCGUCUGAUUAGCUUGUUGGUGAGGUAAUGGCUCACCAAGGCUACGAUCAGUAGCUGGUCUGAGAGGAUGACCAACCACAUUGGGACUGAGACACGGCCCAGACUCCUACGGGAGGCAGCAGUAGGGAAUAUUGGACAAUGGGCGAAAGCCUGAUCCAGCAAUGCCGCGUGAGUGAUGAAGGCCUUAGGGUUGUAAAGCUCUUUACCCGAGAUGAUAAUGACAGUAUCGGAAGAAUAAGCCCGGCUAACUCCGUGCCAGCAGCCGAC
RNAcentral lists this ribosomal RNA (445 nucleotides) under uncultured soil bacterium. RNAcentral's name for it is "bacterial SSU rRNA". It matches the Rfam family "Bacterial small subunit ribosomal RNA", at positions 26 to 518 of the family's 1533-position model. The record is from RNAcentral.